RNAcentral lists this ribosomal RNA (567 nucleotides) under uncultured bacterium. RNAcentral's name for it is "bacterial SSU rRNA". It matches the Rfam family "Bacterial small subunit ribosomal RNA", at positions 338 to 916 of the family's 1533-position model. The record is from RNAcentral.
CCUACGGGAGGCAGCAGUAGGGAAUAUUGGGCAAUGGGCGAAAGCCUGACCCAGCGACGCCGCGUGAGGGAUGGAGGUCUUCGGAUUGUAAACCUCUUUCAGUAGGGAAGAAGCGAAAGUGACGGUACCUAAAGAAGAAGCACCGGCUAACUAUGUGCCAGCAGCCGCGGUAAUACAUAGGGUGCAAGCGUUGUCCGGAAUUAUUGGGCGUAAAGAGCUCGUAGGUGGUUUGUUACGUCGGUUGUGAAAUUCAGGGGCUCAACCCCUGACUUGCAGCCGAUACGGGCAAGCUAGAGUUUGGUAGGGGAGACUGGAAUUCCUGGUGUAGCGGUGGAAUGCGCAGAUAUCAGGAGGAACACCGAUGGCGAAGGCAGGUCUCUGGGCCAAUACUGACACUGAGGAGCGAAAGCGUGGGGAGCGAACAGGAUUAGAUACCCUGGUAGUCCACGCCGUAAACGGUGGGCGCUAGUUGUGCGAACCUUCCACGGUUUGUGCGACGCAGCUAACGCAUUAAGCGCCCCGCCUGGGGAGUACGAUCGCAAGAUUAAAACUCAAAGGAAUUGACGG